ACUUUAUAGAGUGGGCCGAACGAGUUCAGAGUGGGAUAUUCCACGUGUGGGUUGCUCCUUCUGCCUGGGUCCCUGAGUGAGAAGAACUGCCCAUGGCCUCCAUAUACAAAGAAUGAAGAAUAGCUGCCAGUGGUCCUACAAAUUUGAAGAUUUGAAGCCCAUUACAGUGUUGAAGAUGGUUUUCUUCCCGUUGCCAUCAUUUCAAGUUAGGGUGGAUUUGACUCCGAGAGGCUCAGAGCUGUACGUAAACUCCUCCAGGGCAGGACCUGACUCUUCAGAAGAAUUUUUUAACCCCUGCACCCCCACCCCCCACCCUGGAGCUGCCCAGGUCAAGGCCCUGAUAGAGCAGACGUUCAAGAGCAAUGACUAACUGCAGUUGAAAGCCCAGAAGAUACAACAAGCAAAAUCCUGCAUAUAGCCCUGGAGGGACGUGGAGGUGAGCCAGAACUGGAGGGCCUCCACUUCAGUGGGAUGACCGAGACUCAACAGCAUGAGAAUUUGCCAGCAGUGAGGGCCAUCAAAGACCAGAGCUGCUCCACAUGGCUGUGAGCUGCCCAGGGGCAAAGGCUGUGUCUUUCUGGCCCUCAAUCCCCAGCAUCUAGUACAAUGCCUGGCACCUGAGUUCUCAAUAAAGAGUGACCAGAAUGAGCUGCUUCUUCAGGAAUUUACACUAACCCCACAGAAUUCAAUGUUUAAGCAGCUUGCUAAACAUUUAUCAGAUCGCCCCAAGUGGAAGAACCAGUCAAGAAGUCACUUCUCAGUGCUUCCAAUUUUCUGCUUAACCAUAAAAAAGUGAAGAAAUGACACCGAUUGGCUAAUUCAUGUUGUUCUGACGUCGACCCACUUCGUGAGGAGCACGUCUCCUUGGAAGAAAGAAGUUCUAAGAGAACCGAGGAAUGAUCAGAGGACAUCUACGAGAACUGCAAGCGUUUAAACCGCAGGUUGUAGCCGUGGCCUUGAUAGUGCAGUCUCAUUAAUACACACAGAUGGGAGCGUACGGGUGAUAAUGUAUCCUCACAGCUCACAUCGCCGUUCACCCUUGACAGAUGAGCUUCCUCCUACUCCCCAUCCCCGUGAAAACCUUCUAAUGUUAACUCCCACUGCUUCCCUCCCCUUGGCCUCUAAACUUUAUUAUAACCACCUAGCCUUUCCUCCAAGUCUUUUAUAUUAAUUAGAGGGCUAUGUGAUAUGGCCUUACCGCUUUAAGAUCAACUUCUCCAGGAGUUCCUGCUGUGGCGCAGCAGAAAUGAACCUGACUAUAUCCAUGAGGAUGUGGGUUCCAUCCCUGGCCUCGCUCAGUGGGUCGGGGAUCCGGUGUUGCCAUGAGCUGUGGUGUAGGUUGCAGAUAUGGCCUGGAUCCCGAGUGGCUGUGGCUGUGGCUGUGGCCAGCAGCUGUAGCCCCGAUUCAACCCCUAGCCUGGGAACUUCCAUAUGCUGCGGGUGUGGCUCAAAGAAGCAAAAAAAGAAAAAAA
This 1472-nucleotide long non-coding RNA is filed under the name Sus scrofa (pig). RNAcentral describes it as "lncRNA (ENSSSCG00015038876.1)". Lineage: Eukaryota; Metazoa; Chordata; Mammalia; Artiodactyla; Suidae. The record is from RNAcentral.